ACGAGUUUGAUCCUGGCUCAGGAUGAACGCUAGCGGCAGGCUUAAUACAUGCAAGUCAAGGGGGUAGCAAUACAACCGGCGCACGGGUGAGUAACACGUACACAACAUACCAUAUACUGAGGUAUAGCUUCGGGAAACUGAAGGUAAUCCCUCAUAGUAUUGUGAAAGGGCAUCCUUUUACAAUUAAAGUUUCGACGGUAUAUGAUUGGUGUGCGUUUGAUUAGCUAGUUGGUAGGGUAACGGCCUACCAAGGCAACGAUCAAUAGCUGGCGUGAGAGCGCGACCAGCCACACUGGAACUGAGACACGGUCCAGACUCCUACGGGAGGCAGCAGUAGGGAAUAUUGGACAAUGGGCGAAAGCCUGAUCCAGCCAUGCCGCGUGAUAGAUGAAGGCCCUCUGGGUUGUAAAUAUCUUUUAUCUGGGAAGAAACACUUCUAUUCUUAGAAGCUUGACAGUACCAGAGGAAUAAGCACCGGCUAACUCCGUG
Molecule: ribosomal RNA, 489 nt
Filed under: uncultured bacterium
Lineage: Bacteria
Description: bacterial SSU rRNA
Rfam family: Bacterial small subunit ribosomal RNA
Source: RNAcentral